GCCGCCUUAGCUCAGCUGGUUAGAGCAUCUGUCUUGUAAACAGAAGGUCGUCGGUUCGAAUCCGACAGGCGGCUCCG
This 77-nucleotide transfer RNA is filed under the name Streptomyces albus. RNAcentral describes it as "tRNA-Thr". It matches the Rfam family "tRNA". Rfam says of the family: Transfer RNA (tRNA) molecules are approximately 80 nucleotides in length. Their secondary structure includes four short double-helical elements and three loops (D, anti-codon, and T loops). Lineage: Bacteria; Bacillati; Actinomycetota; Actinomycetes; Kitasatosporales; Streptomycetaceae. The record is from RNAcentral. RNAcentral also lists the same sequence under 5 other names.